Acanthosepion pharaonis is the source of this 112-nucleotide non-coding RNA. The record is from the annotation of a GenBank genome assembly. NCBI's taxonomy places the organism in Eukaryota, Metazoa, Mollusca, Cephalopoda, Sepiida, Sepiidae.
UAUGGCCAUAUUAUGUUGAAACACUGGUUCCUGUAUGAUCAUUGAAGUUAAACAAUGUUGAUCCUGGUCAGUACCUAGAUGGAUGACCGCUUGGAAAUACCAGGUGCUGUAA